GCCGGAGUGGCGGAACGGCAGACGCAGGGGCCUUAAAAGCCCCAGGCCUGUAAGGGCCGUGAGGGUUCGAAUCCCUCCUCCGGCA
Molecule: transfer RNA, 85 nt
Filed under: Holophagales bacterium
Lineage: Bacteria; Pseudomonadati; Acidobacteriota; Holophagae; Holophagales
Also listed under: 1 other name
Description: tRNA-Leu
Rfam family: tRNA
About the family: Transfer RNA (tRNA) molecules are approximately 80 nucleotides in length. Their secondary structure includes four short double-helical elements and three loops (D, anti-codon, and T loops).
Source: RNAcentral